UCUCUCUGAAUCUGCGAACGGCUCCGCAAACCAGUUGUAAACUAUAGCAAGCAAUCCUGUGGUUGGGCUUCGGCUCGGCCAUGGGUAACAUGGAUAACCCUGGUAAUUCUGAGGCUAAUACAAGAACGUACAACCUGGCUAACCGGCAACGGAAGGCUGGGGAACGUGCAACGUAUCGUAAUGGAUACCGGGAAAGGGUGCACGUUUGGACCGCGCUAAAAACAGUCCUUGGUAAGCCCUCACGGGCGAGCCUUGGCCUGAGCGGCUCUUGCGGUGUGCUUCUGACCUAUCAACUAGACGGCAGCGUAAGGGACAUGCUAUGGUUACAACGGGUACAGAGGAUAAGGGUUCGAUCCUGGAGAGUGGGCCUGAGAGAUU
This 378-nucleotide ribosomal RNA is filed under the name Polyschismium fallax. Its description in RNAcentral is "SSU rRNA". It matches the Rfam family "Eukaryotic small subunit ribosomal RNA", at positions 76 to 405 of the family's 1831-position model. Lineage: Eukaryota; Evosea; Eumycetozoa; Physariida; Didymiaceae. The record is from RNAcentral.